CCUACGGGAGGCAGCAGUGGGGAAUAUUGGACAAUGGGCGCAAGCCUGAUCCAGCAAUGCCGCGUGAGUGAUGAAGGCCUUAGGGUCGUAAAGCUCUUUUACCAGGGAUGAUAAUGACAGUACCUGGAGAAUAAGCUCCGGCUAACUCCGUGCCAGCAGCCGCGGUAAUACGGAGGGAGCUAGCGUUGUUCGGAAUUACUGGGCGUAAAGCGUACGUAGGCGGUUAUUCAAGUCAGAGGUGAAAGCCCGGGGCUCAACCCCGGAACGGCCUUUGAAACUAGGUAGCUAGAAUCUUGGAGAGGUCAGUGGAAUUCCGAGUGUAGAGGUGAAAUUCGUAGAUAUUCGGAAGAACACCAGUGGCGAAGGCGACCUGACUGGACAAGUAUUGACGCUGAGGUACGAAAGCGUGGGGAGCAAACAGGAUUAGAUACCCUGGUAGUCCACGCCGUAAACGAUGAUAACUAGCUGUCCGGGCACGUUGGUGCCGUGGGUGGCGGACACGACGUACGACUAUUAAGUUACUACCGUCCGUACGGGUACGGUACGGUCGACGAGAAGUAAACGUAACGAAAGAAGUAGACGGUAACGUGAGUUAGUUGACGACGACGACGACGAGGGAGGAGG
Molecule: ribosomal RNA, 624 nt
Filed under: uncultured bacterium
Lineage: Bacteria
Description: bacterial SSU rRNA
Rfam family: Bacterial small subunit ribosomal RNA (bases 1-529)
Source: RNAcentral